RNAcentral lists this ribosomal RNA (159 nucleotides) under Melia azedarach (chinaberry). Its description in RNAcentral is "5.8S ribosomal RNA". It matches the Rfam family "5.8S ribosomal RNA". From Rfam's summary of the family: 5.8S ribosomal RNA (5.8S rRNA) is a component of the large subunit of the eukaryotic ribosome. Lineage: Eukaryota; Viridiplantae; Streptophyta; Magnoliopsida; Sapindales; Meliaceae. The record is from RNAcentral.
GACUCUCGGCAACGGAUAUCUCGGCUCUCGCAUCGAUGAAGAACGUAGCGAAAUGCGAUACUUGGUGUGAAUUGCAGAAUCCCGUGAACCAUCGAGUCUUUGAACGCAAGUUGCGCCCCAAGCCGUUAGGCCGAGGGCACGUCUGCCUGGGUGUCACGC